GACGAACGCUGGCGGCGUGCCUAAUACAUGCAAGUAGAACGCACAGUUUAUACCGUAGCUUGCUACACCAUAGACUGUGAGUUGCGAACGGGUGAGUAACGCGUAGGUAACCUGCCUGGUAGCGGGGGAUAACUAUUGGAAACGAUAGCUAAUACCGCAUAAUAUUAAUUAUUGCAUGAUAAUUAAUUGAAAGGUGCAAUUGCACCACUACCAGAUGGACCUGCGUUGUAUUAGCUAGUAGGUGAGGUAACGGCUCACCUAGGCGACGAUACAUAGCCGACCUGAGAGGGUGAUCGGCCACACUGGGACUGAGACACGGCCCAGACUCCUACGGGAGGCAGCAGUAGGGAAUCUUCGGCAAUGGACGAAAGUCUGACCGAGCAACGCCGCGUGAGUGAAGAAGGUUUUCGGAUCGUAAAGCUCUGUUGUAAGAGAAGAACGGGUGUGAGAGUGGAAAGUUCACACUGUGACGGUAUCUUACCAGAAAGGGACGGCUAACUACGUGCCAGCAGCCGCGGUAAUACGUAGGUCCCGAGCGUUGUCCGGAUUUAUUGGGCGUAAAGCGAGCGCAGGCGGUUAGAUAAGUCUGAUGUGAAAAUGCAGGGCUCAACUCUGUAUUGCGUUGGAAACUGUAUAACUAGAGUACUGGAGAGGUAAGCGGAACUACAAGUGUAGAGGUGAAAUUCGUAGAUAUUUGUAGGAAUGCCGAUGGGGAAGCCAGCUUACUGGACAGAUACUGACGCUAAAGCGCGAAAGCGUGGGUAGCAAACAGG
Molecule: ribosomal RNA, 773 nt
Filed under: uncultured Streptococcus sp.
Lineage: Bacteria; Bacillati; Bacillota; Bacilli; Lactobacillales; Streptococcaceae
Description: bacterial SSU rRNA
Rfam family: Bacterial small subunit ribosomal RNA
Source: RNAcentral